RNAcentral lists this ribosomal RNA (601 nucleotides) under uncultured bacterium. Its description in RNAcentral is "bacterial SSU rRNA". It matches the Rfam family "Bacterial small subunit ribosomal RNA", at positions 733 to 1339 of the family's 1533-position model. The record is from RNAcentral.
GCCUUUACUGACGCUAAAGCUCGAAGGUGCGGGUAUCGAACAGGAUUAGAUACCCUGGUAGUCCGCACGGUAAACGAUGGAUGCCCGCUGUUUGCGAUAUACUGUGAGCGGCCAAGAGAAAUCGUUAAGCAUCCCACCUGGGGAGUACGCCGGCAACGGUGAAACUCAAAGGAAUUGACGGGGGCCCGCACAAGCGGAGGAACAUGUGGUUUAAUUCGAUGAUACGCGAGGAACCUUACCCGGGCUUGAACUGCAGGAGAACGAUACAGAGAUGUUGAGGCCCUUCGGGGCUCCUGUGGAGGUGCUGCAUGGUUGUCGUCAGCUCGUGCCGUGAGGUGUCGGCUUAAGUGCCAUAACGAGCGCAACCCUUUUCAUUAGUUGCCAUCAGGUAAUGCUGGGCACUCUGGUGAUACUGCCACCGUAAGGUGUGAGGAAGGUGGGGAUGACGUCAAAUCAGCACGGCCCUUACGUCCGGGGCUACACACGUGUUACAAUGGGGGGUACAGAAGGCGGGAUCAAUGCAAAUUGGUUCAAAUCUUAAAAGCCCUCCUCAGUUCGGAUUGGGGUCUGCAACCCGACCCCAUGAAGCUGGAUCGCUAGU